RNAcentral lists this transfer RNA (74 nucleotides) under Pseudomonadota bacterium. RNAcentral's name for it is "tRNA-Pro". It matches the Rfam family "tRNA". Rfam says of the family: Transfer RNA (tRNA) molecules are approximately 80 nucleotides in length. Their secondary structure includes four short double-helical elements and three loops (D, anti-codon, and T loops). Lineage: Bacteria; Pseudomonadati; Pseudomonadota. RNAcentral also lists the same sequence under 3 other names. The record is from RNAcentral.
CGGGGCGUGGCGCAGCCUGGUAGCGCGCUCGCUUUGGGAGCGAGAGGUCGCCGGUUCGAAUCCGGCCGCCCCGA